RNAcentral lists this long non-coding RNA (3927 nucleotides) under Jatropha curcas. RNAcentral's name for it is "long non-coding RNA (JCUR_LNC001157)". Lineage: Eukaryota; Viridiplantae; Streptophyta; Magnoliopsida; Malpighiales; Euphorbiaceae. The record is from RNAcentral.
AGCACAGUGGACAUAGAUUCUUGUGGUCCCUACGUCGACCACCGCCAACAGGUAAGAUGGAAUCUCCAAGUGAGUACGAGAAUCCACAAGAAGUUUUACCUGAAGGAUUCUUAGAUCGAACGGCUAAGAUUGGAAAGAUAGUUGGAUGGGCUCCACAAGCAGCUAUUUUAGCUCAUCAAGCUAUAGGAGGAUUUGUUUCUCACUGUGGAUGGAACUCUACAUUGGAGAGCAUAUGGUAUGGUGUUCCAAUUGCAGCAUGGCCAAUGUACGCAGAGCAACAGUUCAAUGCCUUUGAAAUGGUGAUUGAACUAGGAUUAGCUGUGGAAAUUAAAAUGGAUUAUAGAAAAGAGAGCAAAAUAAUUAUAAAUAGUGAUGAAAUUGAAAGAGGAAUAAGGUGUUUGAUGGAGCAAGAUAGUGAAAAGAGAAAGAAAGAGAAGGAGAUGAGUGAAAGGAGCAGAAUGGCUUUAAUGGAAGGUGGAUCUUCAUACAUUUGGUUAGAUUGUUUAAUGAAAGAUGUCAUGAGCAAUAUGGCAUGAUCAAAACAUUCCCAUUAUAUGGUUUUGUUUGUCAUUUUUCUUUUCUCCCAAAUUAGCCAAUGUUGGUGUCUAUGGCUCUUACUCAAUAAUGUAUUAAUAUAUAUAUAUAUGUGUGUGUGUGUGUAUGUACUUCUUAAACUCAAAGAAUGAGAAAAUUCCGAAUGAAGAAAGAAAGUUACUUACAUCACAGAUCUACUGGGAUUGGUUUUUAUUUUUCAAAGAGAGAAACCUAAGUUUCCCUCCUCUCUCUCUCCAUAAAGAAAUUAAAAAUGGAGAAGAUGGCUAGCAUAAGUAGAAUAAGAAGCCCAAAUGCCCAUCAUUUUGUCGCUCUCAAUUUGAUCAUAAUUUCAUCAUUCCUGCAUCUUCUUUAUCUCCUUAGUAUGUAAAAAUCUGAACUUUUCCUCUUUUCUUUUUGUCUUUUUACUUUUUUUUUUUUUUUUCCUCUGUUAUGCUGUUAUUGGAGUAGUAGCUAAUGCCAUUGGUGGCUGGUUAAAUCUGAGAACAAAGAAAUUGUUGUUACUAGGAUUGCAUUUAGUAAGUUUGAGAUGGAAGAUUUGUGGAGUCAAAUGGGGGCAUAAAAAUAUUUUCCUUUGUAAAAUCAUGUGGGACCAAGUGAAUUGUAGUGAUUUGUUUUGUUGGACGUCCACCGCAUGAUGGAGCUCGUUUCACCCCAGUAAGAUUUUGGGCGUUCCACCGCUGGAAAAAGAAAGAGGAAUAAGGUGUGUGAUGGAGCAGGAUAAUGGAAAAAGAAAGAAAGUGAAGGAGAUGAGUGGAAGGAGCAAAAUGACUUUAAUGGAAGGUGGGUCUUCAUACAUUUGGUUGGAUUGUUUAAUAAAAGAUGCCAUGAAAAAUAUGUCAUAAUUAAAAUAAUCUCAUUAACUCGAAGGAGAAUAAGCGCAAUGCAAACUCCUCUAGCCCCUUUGUUUUCGAGGGCAAGCGAAAAUUAAUCAGGCUUAUCACGAAUAUAGAUACGGACAUAUCCCCUUUGCUUUCGAAGGCAAGCGAAAAUUAAUCAGGCUUAUCACGAAUAUAGAUACGGACAUACCGUGAAAGUAUAAAAAAAAGAUAGAAUGAAAAUAAGGGCAAUCUUAGACAAUAACCUUAGUCAAAGGACAAUUUUUGAUUUUGUUUGUCACUUUUUCUUUUCUCCCAAUUUAGCGGACUUUGAUGCAUAUGGUUCCUACUCAAGAAUGUAUUGUGCUUCAAGCAUCUUUUGCUUAGUUUUGUAAGUUUCAAAUAAUGCAAGCCCACGGCUGUAGUGAAUAUAAUUUUAUUAUUAAAAGUUGAAUUUUUUAUUUAUCUAAUUUUUAUUCUUUAACAAAUUUUAAGGACUCUUUAUUUAUCAUUUUUUUUAAAUUUAUUAUGCGAUUAUUCAUCUAAUUUUUAUUCCGUAAUAAAUUUUAAGCACUCUUUAUUUAUUAUUAUUUUAAUUCAUUAAAGGUUUAUAUGCGAUAAAUAUAUGUGCUACACAAUAGGGGUAGUCUUCUCUUUGGCUCACAAAACCGGUGAAAACAACUGUGAUUAAGAGAACCCGAACUCGAGACCUCUCAAUCCUCAUAUAAGUGAGAAGAUCAAUCAAACUACUAACUGAUUGGCUCUCUCUAUAUCAUUUAAAUUUUAAAAUCAAUUUUAAUUUGUAUCACAGGAAAAAAAACUAAUUUCAUCGUUAAAUGACUUUAGAAUUUGAUAAAAUUAUAAAAUUCAAUCAAAAUUUUAAAAAUAACCAAAUCAAAUAACCAAAAUCCAUCCCUAAUAAUGAACAACUCUAGAAGUCUCCAUUUUGCCAUAUGUGGGAGGAGAGAGAAUUUUGAGGGUUAUAAAGAUAUAGUGCAACAUGUAAAGAUGGAGAUAAAAAUGGAGAGACUUUUGGUAUUAUAAACAAUGUUGGGAUAAGCUAAUCUACUCAAUGAGGUACAAUUCUAGGUGCUUAGGAGUUAAAAGGUCAUUUUAAAAUGGAAAUGAAACAACUCAAAUAGAUUAGAAUAAAAAUAUGAUUCUAUUCGGAAAUAAUGUUUAAAUAUAGUGUUUGGUAAUAAGGUCAUUUUUUUUUUCUUUUGUUUUCAACAAAGGCGGCUAACAUAUAUAUUAUAUGUUUUUUUUUUUUUUUUUUUUUGACAUUAUAUAUUAUAUGUUUUAGGUAACACCCAGCAAAGCCAUGGCAUCACUGUUUUUGUUCUUCUAGCUUGCAAUUUAUAAUACCGCAAAAUAGCAACACAACAAAGGUGGCUCCUUUUCCUAUGCUUAUGAAAACUAACUCAGUCACUGCCGCUUCAAGCUCAGAAGAAAAAUAGAUAUCUCCUGUCAAAAUGGAAGAAGCACAGCUCGUAUUCGUCCCUACCCCUGGUAUAGGCCACCUUAUAUCCACGGUGGAAUUGGCAAAGCUUCUUCUUAACCACCGCCACCAUGGACUCUCCGUCACUGUCCUUGUCAUGAAGCUAUCUAAUUUUGGUUCCAACGUUACUAACAACUACAUUCAAUCACUUGCAGCCUCCACUUCCUUGUCCGAUCGAAUCAGAUUCAUUGACUUACCCGAAGACAAGCUCGAAACAUUUAGUAUCGCUUCUUUUAUUGAGAGACAGAAACCUCAUGUCAAACAAGUUAUUUCUGAGAUCACUCAAUCUGGGUCUGAUUCGCCUCGACUAGCUGGUUUCGUUCUUGAUAUGUUUUGUGCAACGAUGAUAGAUGUCGCUAAUGAUUUUGGUGUUCCAUCUUACAUUUUCUUUACUUCAAGUGCAGCUUUUUUUGGUUUCGUGCUUCAUUUGCAGGUGAUUUACGAUGAACAGAAUGUUGAUCCAACUGAGUUGAAGGAAUCGGACAUUGAGUUAGAAGUCCCGGGUUUGGUAAACCCAUUUCCUGCUAAGGUUAUGCCUUCCGCGAUGUUAAGCGAAGAGUGGUUUCCUCCCUUGCUCGACAAUUUCAGAAGGUAUAAGGAAGCUAAGGGUAUUAUCGUAAACACAUUAUUUGAGCUAGAAUCCUAUGCAAUCGAGUCUUUUUCUAAUGGUAAAACUAGAAAAACCCCUCCCAUGUAUCCAGUGGGUCCCAUUUUGAAUGUGGGGUCCGAUGGAAGCAGCAAACAGCAGGAAAUCAUGGAAUGGCUUGAUGAUCAGCCUCCAUCAUCAGUGGUGUUCCUGUGCUUUGGGAGCUGGGGAAGUUUUGAUGAGGAUCAAGCGAAAGAGAUUGCCUAUGCGCUAGAGCACAGUGGACAUAGAUUCUUGUGGUCCCUACGUCGACCACCGCCAACAGGUAAGAUGGAAUCUCCAAGUGAGUACGAGAAUCCACAAGAAGUUUUACCUGAAGGAUUCUUAGAUCGAACGGCUAAGAUUGGAAAGAUAGUUGGAUGGGCUCCACAAGCAGCUAUUUUAGCUCAUCAAGCUAUAGGAGGAUUUGUUUC